UGGGGAAUCUUGCGCAAUGCGCGAAAGCGUGACGCAGCAACGCCGCGUGGGGGAAGACGGCCUUCGGGUUGUAAACCCCUUUCAGGAGGGACGAAGGUUCGCCGGUGAAUAGCCGUGCGGAUUGACGGUACCUCCAGAAGAAGCUCCGGCUAACUACGUGCCAGCAGCCGCGGUAAUACGUAGGGGGCAAGCGUUGUCCGGAAUCAUUGGGCGUAAAGCGCGCGUAGGCGGCCCUGUAAGUCCGUUGUGAAAGUCAAAGGCUACAACCUUUGAAUGCCGAUGGAUACUGCAGGGCUAGAGUCCGGAAGAGGCGAGUGGAAUUCCUGGUGUAGCGGUGGAAUGCGCAGAUAUCAGGAGGAACACCAAUAGCGAAGGCAGCUCGCUGGGACGGUACUGACGCGUAAGGCGCGAAAGCGUGGGGAGCGAACAGGAUUAGAUACCCUGGUAGUCCACGCCGUAAACGAUGGGCACUAGGUGUGGGAGGUGUCGACUCCUCCCGUGCCGUCG
RNAcentral lists this ribosomal RNA (507 nucleotides) under uncultured Actinomycetes bacterium. Its description in RNAcentral is "bacterial SSU rRNA". It matches the Rfam family "Bacterial small subunit ribosomal RNA", at positions 355 to 851 of the family's 1533-position model. The record is from RNAcentral. Lineage: Bacteria; Bacillati; Actinomycetota; Actinomycetes.